CAGCCGCCGCGGUAAUACGUAGGGUGCGAGCGUUCAUCGGAUUUACUGGGCGUAAAGCGUGCGCAGGCGGCCCGUUAAGACAGGUGUGAAAUCCCUGGGCUCAACCUAGGAAUUGCGCUUGUGACUGGCGGGCUCGAGUACGGUAGAGGGGGGUGGAAUUCCUGGUGUAGCAGUGAAAUGCGUAGAGAUCAGGAGGAACACCGAUGGCGAAGGCAGCCCCCUGGGCCUGUACUGACGCUCAUGCACGAAAGCGUGGGGAUCAAACAGGAUUAGAUCCCCUGGUAGUCCACGCCCUAAACGAUGGGUACUAGCCGUUUGGUGCGCGAUAGCGCUGAGUGGCGAAGCUAACGCGUGAAGUACCCCGCCUGGGGAGUACGGCCGCAAGGUUGAAACUUAAAGGAAUUGGCGGG
Molecule: ribosomal RNA, 410 nt
Filed under: uncultured microorganism
Description: bacterial SSU rRNA
Rfam family: Bacterial small subunit ribosomal RNA
Source: RNAcentral